CGUGCUUACACAUGCAGUCGAACGAUGAACCUCACUUGUGGGGGGAUUAGUGGCGAACGGGUGAGUAACACGUGAGUAACCUGCCCUUGACUCUGGGAUAAGCCUGGGAAACCGGGUCUAAUACUGGAUACGACCUUCCCGCGCAUGCGGUGUUGGUGGAAAGCUUUUGCGGUUUUGGAUGGACUCGCGGCCUAUCAGCUUGUUGGUGGGGUAAUGGCCUACCAAGGCGACCACCGGUAGCCGGCCUGAGAGGGUGACCGGCCACACUGGGACUGAUACACGGCCCAGACUCCUACCGGAGGCAGCAGUGGGGAAUAUUGCACAAUGGGCGCAAGCCUGAUGCAGCGACGCCCCGUGAGGGAUGAAGGCCUUCGGGUUGUAAACCUCUUUCAGUAGGGAAGAAGCUGGCCUUUGGGUUGAUGACGGUACCUGCAGAAGAAGCGCCGGCUAACUACUGCCA
RNAcentral lists this ribosomal RNA (460 nucleotides) under Arthrobacter sp. RNAcentral's name for it is "bacterial SSU rRNA". It matches the Rfam family "Bacterial small subunit ribosomal RNA", at positions 43 to 510 of the family's 1533-position model. The record is from RNAcentral. Lineage: Bacteria; Bacillati; Actinomycetota; Actinomycetes; Micrococcales; Micrococcaceae.